AUGAAGUCCACCACAGCACUGAGAGCCCGAAGGGUGGCGGCCAUCAUGGCCAUAGGUCUGGCCGCAGCGCUCGCCACGGCCGUGAACGCCCAGCAGUGCGGCUCGCAGGCUGGCGGCUCGACCGACCAUCCCUACUGCGGCGCCGGCUCCCAGAGCCGGUGCAACGGCUGUGGUACCGGCGACCAGGGCUUGUCGUCCAUCCUGUCCAGGGACCUCUUCGAGCGGCUCCUUCUCCACCGCAACGACGGGGCGUGCCUGGCACGUGGGUUCUACACCUACGACGCCUUCCUUGCCGCCGCCGCCGCAUACCCGUCCUUCGGCACCACCAGGAGCACGGAGACGCGAAAGCGGGAGGUGGCAGCCUUCCUCGGGCAGACCUCCCACGAGACCACUGGUGGGUGGGCCACGGCACCAGACGGCCCCUACUCCUGGGGCUACUGCUUCAAGCAAGAGAAAGGGAAUGACACACCGAAAAGCUACUGCGAGUCAAAGCUGGAGUGGCCGGCGCGCUAUCGGGGUGGACCUGCUCAACAACCCGGACCUAGUGGCGACAAACCCAACGGUGUCGUUCAAGACCGCGUUGUGGUUCUGGAUGACGGCACAAGCAAACAAGCCGGCGUCGCACGCUGUGACCACGGGUCAGUGGACGCCGCCGGCCGGACGCCUGGCUACGGCGUCAUCGUCAGCAUCAUCAACGGUGAGAUCGAGUGCGGAAAGGGGCAGAGCCCCGAGGUGGUUGACCGGAUCGGAUUCUACAAGCGCUACUGCGAUGUCCUCGGUGUCGGCUACGGUAGCAACCUUGACUGCUACAACCAGAGGUCAUUCAAAAACGGGCUCCUGGCUGGGCUCGCAUCACAGUGA
Molecule: ribosomal RNA, 861 nt
Filed under: Triticum aestivum (bread wheat)
Lineage: Eukaryota; Viridiplantae; Streptophyta; Magnoliopsida; Poales; Poaceae
Description: partial small subunit ribosomal RNA
Source: RNAcentral